AGUUCUGGAGAACGCCAUCAGCUAGCUGCUUAAAAUUAAACCACAGGUUCCAUUAUGGGUCGACUUGAUGGGAAAGUCAUCAUCCUGACGGCCGCUGCUCAGGGGAUUGGCCAAGCAGCUGCCUUAGCUUUUGCAAGAGAAGGUGCCAAAGUCAUAGCCACAGACAUUAAUGAGUCCAAACUUCAGGAACUGGAAAAGUACCCGGGUAUUCAAACUCGUGUCCUUGAUGUCACAAAGAAGAAACAAAUUGAUCAGUUCGCCAAUGAAGUUGAGAGACUUGAUGUUCUCUUUAAUGUUGCUGGUUUUGUCCAUCAUGGAACUGUCCUGGAUUGUGAGGAGAAAGACUGGGACUUCUCGAUGAAUCUCAAUGUGCGCAGCAUGUACCUGAUGAUCAAGGCAUUCCUUCCUAAAAUGCUUGCUCAGAAAUCUGGCAAUAUUAUCAACAUGUCUUCUGUGGCUUCCAGCGUCAAAGGUGGGUCUGUCUCCUUCUGAGGACUGCGAUGCUCAUACAUGCACAUCAUUAAGAGCUCUGCGUUUGGGAACAGGCAUAGCAGAGAUCAUAAUUUCAAGUAUUGAAAUGAUUUCAAAACUGCUUUUUUCAAAAUUGGUAUUAAGUUCCUUAACCACAGAUCUUUUGCUCUAGAUGUGAGCCAGUGGUAAAAUUAAAUUAAAAUGUGGGGUAUUUUUGCCGUCCCUUUUAUUCUUUCUAAUGGACAUGGAAAUGAACAUCAAACUGGGAGAAAGAAUCAUUUAACAUUUAAUUAAUUUAAAACAGUGUAUUGAGCACCAGUAUGUGCUCUGCCUAUAACAGAAUUCACAGUCCAAAACUAGGAGCAAGGCAGCAAACAUCAUCUUCUCCAGUGUGAUGAUAUAUAACAAAGGUUUGUACAAAGCGCUGUCAAAAUACAGGGAAAUAACUGCCUGUGAGUUUGUGGAAUGCUUCACAAAGACAGUUGAUCUGAGCCAUCAGUGAGAAGUCAAGGUGAAGGACAAGGACAGCAGUGUAAAAUGUGGAUUAUGUCACAAUCUGGCAUAGUUGGAUCUGUGAGUUUAAAACGAAAUAGUUACUGCUGAGAUAACAUUUCUUCUCUUUGCAAGAAUACACAUAUUCAACAUACACAAGAGAGGAAUGUAAAGAAGUGCCUAGGCCUCCUGUUUUAUUGUUUUGUUUUGUUAUUAAUCUUCAUUUUCUUUUGGAAUCUGCCUAAGAGUUAUGGCAACUGAUGAUGAGAAACUAAGACUACCAGUGUUAAGAGUUGUGAACAGAUGUGUGUACAGCACAACCAAGGCAGCUGUGAUUGGCCUCACAAAAUCUGUGGCUGCAGAUUUCAUCCAGCAGGGCAUCAGGUGCAACUGUGUGUGCCCAGGAACGGUUGAUACGCCAUCUCUACAAGAAAGAAUACAAGCCAGAGGAAAUCCUGAAGAGGCACGGAAUGAUUUCCUGAAGAGGCAAAAGACGGGAAGAUUCGCAACUGCAGAAGAAAUAGCCAUGCUCUGCGUGUAUUUGGCUUCUGAUGAAUCUGCUUAUGUAACUGGUAACCCUGUCAUCAUUGAUGGAGGCUGGAGCUUGUGAUUUUAGGAUCUCCAUGGUGGGAAGGAAAGCAGGCCCUUCCUAUCCACAGUGAACCUGGUUAUGAAGAACACUCACCAAUCAUCUCCUUCCUGUUAAUCACAUGUUAAUGAAAAUAAGCCCUUUUUAAUGAUGUCACUGUUUGCAAGAGUCUGAUUCUUUAAGUAUAUUA
Molecule: small RNA, 1742 nt
Filed under: Pongo abelii (Sumatran orangutan)
Lineage: Eukaryota; Metazoa; Chordata; Mammalia; Primates; Hominidae
Description: retained intron
Source: RNAcentral